UAGCUACCUUAAAUGCACCAAAGAUGAAUAUAUUCUGAAUUUACUGUAAAUUGUGGAGGUGCCAAUGACACUAGAAGAGUGACUCUGGUCUUGGAAUCAAGGCAAUACUUCAAUGUGAAGUGCCAAAUGGAUAAGUGAUGGGGAAAGGAAGAUGCAUGGAACUUCAAAUUAUAUAUACAGAAAGAAAUCAUCAAGCUAUGAUAUAAGAAACACAAUUGACUGCUGAUUAUCCUACUUUAUUACAUUUCUACCAGACACGUGAAAAUACCACUUUGAAUGCACAUAUAAAGUGUUUAAUGUUUCUUGUAUUCUUUUCUAUUAAGCAUUUUAAAAUUAACAUUG
Long non-coding RNA from Peromyscus eremicus (cactus mouse), 342 nucleotides. RefSeq lists it as uncharacterized. The transcript has 3 exons. The record is from RefSeq and is a predicted model, not a curated record. NCBI's taxonomy places the organism in Eukaryota, Metazoa, Chordata, Mammalia, Rodentia, Cricetidae.